UACGUAGGAGACGAGCGUUGUCCGGAGUUACUGGGCGUAAAGGGUGCGUAGGCGGGUCUUUUAAGUCAGGGGUGAAAUCCUGGAGCUCAACUCCAGAACUGCCUUUGAUACUGGGGAUCUUGAGUCCGGGAGAGGUGAGUGGAACUGCGAGUGUAGAGGUGAAAUUCGUAGAUAUUCGCAAGAACACCAGUGGCGAAGGCGGCUCACUGGCCCGGUACUGACGCUGAGGUGCGAAAGCGUGGGGAGCAAACAGG
Molecule: ribosomal RNA, 254 nt
Filed under: uncultured bacterium
Lineage: Bacteria
Description: partial 16S ribosomal RNA
Rfam family: Bacterial small subunit ribosomal RNA
Source: RNAcentral